GAUGAACGCUGGCGGCGUGCCUAAUACAUGCAAGUCGAGCGAACAGACGAGGAGCUUGCUCCUCUGACGUUAGCGGCGGACGGGUGAGUAACACGUGGAUAACCUACCUAUAAGACUGGGAUAACUUCGGGAAACCGGAUCUAAUCCCGGAUAAUAUAUUGAACCGCAGGGUUCAAUAGUGAAAGACGGUUUUGCUGUCACUUAUAGAUGGAUCCGCGCCGCAUUAGCUAGUUGGUAAGUUAACGGGUUACCAAGGCAACGAUGCGUAGCCGACCUGAGAGGGUGAUCGGCCACACUGGAACUGAGACACGGUCCAGACUCCUACGGGAGGCAGCAGUAGGGAAUCUUCCGCAAUGGGCGAGAGCAUGACGGAGCAACGCCGAGUGAGUGAUGACGGUCUUCGGAUCGUAAAACUCUGUUAUUAGGGAAGAACAAAUGUGUAAGUAACUAUGCACGUAUUGACGGUACCUAAUCAGAAAGCCACGGCUAACUACGUG
RNAcentral lists this ribosomal RNA (497 nucleotides) under uncultured bacterium. Its description in RNAcentral is "partial 16S ribosomal RNA". It matches the Rfam family "Bacterial small subunit ribosomal RNA", at positions 28 to 507 of the family's 1533-position model. The record is from RNAcentral.